UGAAAGAAAGAUCAGUAUGAAGAUUAGUCCU
RNAcentral lists this non-coding RNA (31 nucleotides) under Mus musculus (house mouse). Lineage: Eukaryota; Metazoa; Chordata; Mammalia; Rodentia; Muridae. The record is from RNAcentral.